GUAAACCCAAGGUUUCCAGGGGAAGGUUCGUCCGCCCUGGGUUAGUCGGGACCUAAGCUGAGGCCGAAAGGCGUAGGGGAUGGACAACAGGUUGAUAUUCCUGUACUACCGAUAACCGUUUGAGAGAGGGGAUGACACAGUAGGAUAAGCUAAGCACACUGUUGGUUAUGUGUGCCCAAGCAUUGAGGCAGUCAAAGUAGGCAAA
This 205-nucleotide ribosomal RNA is filed under the name Clostridioides difficile. RNAcentral describes it as "partial 23S ribosomal RNA". It matches the Rfam family "Bacterial large subunit ribosomal RNA", at positions 1339 to 1540 of the family's 2925-position model. Lineage: Bacteria; Bacillati; Bacillota; Clostridia; Peptostreptococcales; Peptostreptococcaceae. The record is from RNAcentral.